Molecule: small nuclear RNA, 144 nt
Organism: Scleropages formosus (Asian bonytongue)
Lineage: Eukaryota; Metazoa; Chordata; Actinopteri; Osteoglossiformes; Osteoglossidae
Gene: U4
Rfam family: U4 spliceosomal RNA
About the family: U4 small nuclear RNA (U4 snRNA) is a component of the major U2-dependent spliceosome. The structure of U4 snRNA from yeast and human has been reported.
Source: Ensembl
CGCCUUGCGCAGUGGCAAUAUCGUAGCCUGUGAGGUUGAACCGAGGCGUGAUUAUUGCUAGUUGAAAACUUAACCCAAUACCCCGUCAAGCAGACUUGCAACACAGUUGGCUUUGGCAAUUUUUGAUAGUCUCUUCUUGGGAGA